AAAGGAAUGCCACAUAAUAGCUACCAUGGCAAAACUGGAUGAGUCUGUAAUGUUACCCAACAUGCUGUUGGCAUUGUUAUAAACAAGGAUAAGAUUCUUGCCAAUAGAAUCAGUGUGUGUAUUGAGCAUAUUAACCACUCUAAGAGCUGAGAUAGCCUCCCGAAAUGCAUGAAGGAAAAUGAUCAGAAAAGGAAGCCAAAGAGAAAGGUACCGGGGUUCAACUGAAGCACUAGCCCACUCCACCCAGAGCAGCACACUGUGUGAGAACCAAUGGAAAAAAGCCUGGGCUCCUG
RNAcentral lists this long non-coding RNA (293 nucleotides) under Homo sapiens (human). RNAcentral's name for it is "non-protein coding lnc-VIRMA-7:1". The record is from RNAcentral. Lineage: Eukaryota; Metazoa; Chordata; Mammalia; Primates; Hominidae.